AGAGUUUGAUCAUGGCUCAGAUUGAACGCUGGCGGCAUGCCUUACACAUGCAAGUCGAACGGCAGCACGGGGGCAACCCUGGUGGCGAGUGGCGAACGGGUGAGUAAUACAUCGGAACGUGUCCUGUAGUGGGGGAUAGCCCGGCGAAAGCCGGAUUAAUACCGCAUACGAUCUACGGAUGAAAGCGGGGGACCGAAAGGCCUCGCGCUAGAGGGGCGGCCGAUGGCAGAUUAGCUAGUUGGUGGGGUAAAGGCCUACCAAGGCGACGAUCCGUAGCUGGUCUGAGAGGACGACCAGCCACACUGGGACUGAGACACGGCCCAGACUCCUACGGGAGGCAGCAGUGGGGAAUUUUGGACAAUGGGGGCAACCCUGAUCCAGCAAUGCCGCGUGUGUGAAGAAGGCCUUCGGGUUGUAAAGCACUUUUGUCCGGAAAGAAAUCCUUUGGGCUAAUACCUCGGGGGGAUGACGGUACCGGAAGAAUAAGCACCGGCUAACUACGUGCCAGCAGCCGCGGUAAUACGUAGGGUGCGAGCGUUAAUCGGAAUUACUGGGCGUAAAGCGUGCGCAGGCGGUUCGCUAAGACCGAUGUGAAAUCCCCGGGCUUAACCUGGGAACUGCAUUGGUGACUGGCGGGCUAGAGUAUGGCAGAGGGGGGUAGAAUUCCACGUAGCAGUGAAAUGCGUAGAGAUGUGGAGGAAUACCGAUGGCGAAGGCAGCCCCCUGGGCCAAUACUGACGCUCAUGCACGAAAGCGUGGGGAGCAAACAGGAUUAGAUACCCCCGUAGUCC
RNAcentral lists this ribosomal RNA (791 nucleotides) under uncultured bacterium. RNAcentral's name for it is "bacterial SSU rRNA". It matches the Rfam family "Bacterial small subunit ribosomal RNA", at positions 8 to 796 of the family's 1533-position model. The record is from RNAcentral.